UAUGAGACCCCUGCAGUGGGUCCUGGUCUGCAAGCCAGUAUGACAUCCACAAGACAGAAAAGUGGGAAAAGACAGACUUAAGAGAAACAGCUUUGGGCUGAUCUGAGCUGCUCUGGGCAACAAAGACAAAAGACUCACAAUACAUCGGGUGUCAUAAGCGGGGGAAGAGGGGAAACGGUAGGCUUGAGACACCUGCUGAUAACAAGUAUCAGGCGGGCGGAACUAUAGAAUGAGGAGGGCACAAGCACAUUUUCGCUGAAGAGAACAGUUAAGUUAGAGGGGAGGAAUUCAGUUGGAGCCAAGUUGACCUCGGCUGGAAGUGGACUUCGCUGAUUGGACUACUUCCAAUGUAACACAGCCAAAUUAUGGAUCCGAGAUGGAUUUUGCGUUCUAUAUCAUCUCAAGUGGCAUUUAAACUUUUUUAAAAGAAUUCAAUGGAAGUGAAGGUCGUGUUUGGGAUUGAAAUCAGGACGUGGCACUUACAAGUGUUAGGAGGACCCAGCAAGCAUGUACCUGGCCCCAGCUGAUAUCACCAAUGGCUGAGCCCUGCACUGGACCCAGGAGGACCCAGGAAGCAUAUGUCCUGCUCUCAGCUGACAUCAACACCCACUAGACCCUACACUGAACCCAGGAGGACCCAGGACCCAUAAGUCCUGCCUCCAAUCCUGGGGUUUUCCAAAACACAGGGCAACAGAGUUGAAAACCAACACACCAACCUGAUCAAAGAUGGGACCAAUACAUCGAGGAGGAGAGUUUUGCUUCAAGACUGAAAUGAUACUCUCCACAGAGGGUAUCCACAGUGACUAAGAGACAGCCCUGGGAGAUAGGCUUGGAGAGGGUGAGACUAAAUAGGGAUCUCUUUGGAUCCUCUGGGAGGCGUGAGUUCAUAUCAGAAACUUCAUGGGACCUGUAUUGUGUUGUGGAAGACCAGGUUUGGUGGGAGUAAUUGUCAGAGGGGGCAGUCCUGAAGCUGUGGAACUGCUGCCAACAUCCAGCAGAAAAUAGUGCUCUGAAUUACUU
This is a long non-coding RNA of Fukomys damarensis (Damara mole-rat), 1020 nucleotides long. RefSeq lists it as uncharacterized. NCBI's taxonomy places the organism in Eukaryota, Metazoa, Chordata, Mammalia, Rodentia, Bathyergidae. The transcript has 4 exons. The record is from RefSeq and is a predicted model, not a curated record.